AUGAGGACUUAUUUUGACACUUAUAGAGAGGAAGGGUUUGAUUCUAGUGUGAUCAUUGCCAAAGAAAUCGCAGCUGAAAUGGGUGUAGAGCCAUCAUUUCCAGUAAAGCGUCGUGUUUCUAGGAAGAAACAAUUUGAUGAAGAUGACAAUGAUGAAGCGAUAUUGGAAGCUGAGAAGGAUUUUAAAGUCAAUUAUUUUUUGAUUAUGGUUGAUAAGGCGGCCACUUCACUGAAAAUUAGAUUUGACGAACUUGAGUCAUUCAAAAAUAUAUUUGGAUUUUUAAUGAGUUCAACGGCCUUGAAGUCAUUGGACCGUUCUGAACUUAAAGACAGUUGUACAAAAUUUGCAAGUGCUUUCUCUUCGGGUGGUUCAUCUGAUGUUGAUUUAAAUGAUCUGAUUUCUGAGUUAAUUGUUAUGCAGUCAACUUUGCCCGAUAGAACAAUGUCCGCUAUGGAGAUUUUUGAGUUUGCAAGGGAAGCUGAUUGUUAUCCAAAUAUUGCUAUUGCAUAUCGGAUUUUCUUUACUAUGCCUGUUACUGUGGCAUCAGCUGAAAGAAGUUUUUCGAAGUUGAAAUUGUUGAAGAACUACUUGAGAUCUACAAUGUCGCAAGAGAGGUUAAAUGGCUUGGCAACUUUAUGCAUCGAGAAAAAUUUGGUUGAUGAAAUUGACAUUGAUACUAUCGUUAGUGAUUUUGCAUCUCAGAAUGUUAGAAUAAAAUUUUGA
RNAcentral lists this ribosomal RNA (723 nucleotides) under Triticum aestivum (bread wheat). Its description in RNAcentral is "partial small subunit ribosomal RNA". The record is from RNAcentral. Lineage: Eukaryota; Viridiplantae; Streptophyta; Magnoliopsida; Poales; Poaceae.